Molecule: long non-coding RNA, 11104 nt
Filed under: Prunus persica (peach)
Lineage: Eukaryota; Viridiplantae; Streptophyta; Magnoliopsida; Rosales; Rosaceae
Description: long non-coding RNA (PPER_LNC008606)
Rfam family: MIR6288 microRNA precursor family (bases 6088-6178)
Source: RNAcentral
GCAGGCAUUAACAUUAAGAACAAAAUGAUGUGACAAAUUUAAGAACUGAAAAUUUUCACCCAAACAGACUAUUGUUUCUCAGGCUAAAUUAAUUAUAAUUUGUCGAAUUUAUUUUAUCCAAACUGAAAUAUAUAGCCCAUGCUUCUUAAGCUAACUUAUAAUAUAGUAACAGUGAAUUAAUAAGAUUUUUCAGCAAGCCAACCAAGUCCUCUUGAAAUGCCGAAUUAGUUUUGAUACUUAACGAGAUGUAACUUAGUUCCUUCCAUAACUGUGGCAGCCCAGAGAAGAGCACCAUCAUCAAGAUCAAAACCGUUCAUUCGGAGUACCUUGUGUUCAACGUCAAUAAUGCUUUGUUCUGCGCAAACUUUCGCCUUCAACUCCCCCACGGUAGCACCAUCAUGGACUUCACACACAUAAUAAAAGCGACUAUACUCCACGUAGAUUUCGACUUUAAUUUUGGUAAGGACAGUAAGGGAAGCAUUAGGAGGAAUGUGAUAGUUUUGCAGAGUCAGUUCAUCCCUGAGGAACUGCCCUUCCCAUGAGAGCUCUUGCCUGUCUGCUGGGACUGGGAUGUGAAGCGCUUCACAAAUCAGUACUUUCACUUCGAUAAUUCGUGCAGCGACGGGUAUCUCCAGAGUGGAUAUUGCUCCUCUCCGUAAAACUAUGAUCCGCAUGUUCUGUCAAAUAACAUUCAUUUUGUUAUAUAUGAAACUGUGCAUGCAUUAUGCAUAUAAACUUAGAAAAAGAACAUUAGAAUUUAAUUUGCAAUCACAAAUGAAUCAUGUACUGGAUAAAGCUUAUGGAGUGGAAAAAUGCUUACCGCCGGAGGCAAAUUAGAGUCGGGAUCCAUUGUGCCGCUGAUUAGUUAAUGCUUCAAUGCGAGAGGGAUCAGCUUGUUAAAAUGUAUCUCCUCAUGGCAUUAGCAUGGGGUUGGUUGUUCGAAUGUGAUUUGCAUGCAUCGAAUGGUCCUUUUUAAGUCAUGCAUAUUUUGUUCCAAAACUAGUUAACGAAAAAAUAAUUUCAGAAUGAAAACUUUAGACUGAACAUGAUGAAGUAACCCAACUUUUAUUUCUCAGCUCACACGCACUGCAAACUAUAUGUUGAAGAAUACACAAGUCCCACAUCGGAAAUUUAAUAAAAUAAAAAGUUCCAUAUAAUAAAUGGUUCCACUCCUAAUAACAUCGAUGUCUUUUGUAUAAAACCCCACACCGACUUUGUAGGUAGUUAAGUUGGGGACAAUAUCGGUGUUGUUAGUAAUGAGUCACUGACCCGUCUCUCUAGUCUUAACAUAGUAUCAGAGCGGGUUGAUUGAUUGUGCCUGAAUUGGGCCUCUAUCCUUACCCAAUAUGUGGUGUUCACAUGUUGGGCUUGAAUGCUUACCCUUACCCUUUACCCAAUACGUGGUGCUCACGUGUUGGGCUUGAAUGUUUGACUCCGAUGUGGAUUUGGCUCCACGUGUGGCGCACUAUGUUGUGGUCCCACGUGAAGGGGUGUGUUGAAGAAUGAGUCACACAUCGGAAACUUGAUUAAAUAAAAUAAAAUACAUAAUAAAUAGUUCUACUACUAAUAUCACCGAGGCCUUUUGUGAUAAAACUCCACACCUACUGGGUUUUGUAGGUGGUUAAAUUGGGGACAAUAUCGGUGUUGUUAGUAGUAGGGCCGUCUCUCUGAAUUUAACAUGAUAUUAGAGCGGGUCGGUUGAUUGGGCCCGAUUAAACUCAAAUCAAACAAAAACUCCAAAUUGAAUCAAAACCAAACAAACCCCAAAUACUCCACACCCAAAAAAAGAAAAAAAAAAGUGACUGAUGUGGAAUUGGUUGCACGUGUGGCCCACUAAAAAAGUGGUCCCACGUGAGGAGAAGUGUUGAAGAAUACACGAGCCCCACAUCGGAAACUUAACAAAAUAAAAAGUCUUAUACAAUGAAUGGUUUCAAUCCUAAUAACAUCGAGACCUUUUGUAUAAAACCCAACACCUACUAAAUAGGUGGUUAAAUUUGGGAUAAUAUCGAUAUUGCUAGUGGUAGACCAAAUGUCAAAUACAUACGUAUAAUCAUUAGCACACUAUAUGUAUAAAAUAAACUGAAACGUUAUCUACUUGUAUAUAAAAGUUCGACUCUAAGACAUCCGACUUUACAACUUGCUCCCAAUAUAUGUUUAUCAUGUAUAGUGCCCCUUCAACCCUAAAAUAAGAGAAAAUAUUGGCUGAUAUUUCAUCAUGGCUUAGGAGAGAACGUAAGUCAGACAGAAUAGUGAUGAUCUGAUUUGGUGUUCCUAAUUUUUAUUCUCUUUUUCUAUUGGCCCCUUCAAAACAUUUAACUCAUGGGACACUUGAGUUGAGACACAAGAAACACAAGAAUGGAUAUGAGAAAGACGAAACAAAUAGAUUAAUCGAACGAGAUGGACGAAAAUUGAGAUAAGGGAGUGAUACCCUUAAAAUAAAGGGAGAUACACUAUAAUACCUAAUAUAUGAGCUUAAAUUAUUAAAAAGAAAAAAAAAACUUAUAUGAAAUGAACUUUAGAAACACACCCAAAACCCAUUUACAACAUAACAAAAAGGCUUUUAACUUCUUUUAAAUUACAAAACUGCAAUUGAUUUCUUAAAACAAACUCAACCCAAAAACCUCAUAAAAAAAUCCAAAACACUCAAUGAGGCAUCAAAGUAAUUAAAAUUAAAUUCAAUAGGGUCAGCUAUUAUUUUUGGGGGGUUUUUUUUUUUGUUUGUUUAUAAAAAUUAAAUGGUGUAUGGUUUAUUUAUAGUUUUAGUACUAAGAAGGGGUAUAUGACUAAAUAUCUCUAAAAUAAACCAAUAGUUUAACAUGAAUCAUUAAUGAUUUAAGAAGGAAAUUGUCAAGCACUUAGAGCAAAAUUUGGCUCUUUAAAAUUGAGCAGGAGCACAUCCUCACAACAAAUGGAAUUUUGGCACUUGAUAAAUUGCAAAAGAUAAAUAAAUAAAUAAAUAAAUGAAUUUGACAAGUAUCAAAACCCUAUUUGUUUUGAGGAGCCAAAAUUUUUCCUUAUUUUAUUAACAUUAAUUAAUAAUUAUAAAUUAGAAGGAAGCCGCAUGAACAUUUGAAAAAUAUUUUGUAACUGCUAUUCAUAUCCAUAUUAUGUUGGGGGCAUAUAAGAGUUCUUAAGUUCAAACUCUUAUGACACCAUAAAUUCUUUAGACACAUUAAUAUAUGAGAAAUUAGAAUAUUGGCUGGUGGAUAAGAUUUGAACGGGAAAGUAAUUGUUCUCUGUUUUCACCGUGCCGUGAUGUGCUGAUUUAAGAACUGAGAUUUUUCACCCAAACAGAUCUUUAUUGCAUAUAUUCAUCUUCCAACAGAUACACAUUUAUUUUAAAUUUCCAAACACCAUACUGUUAAGCUAAGUUAAUUAUACUCUGUCGCGAAUUUAUUUUUCGUCUAAACUACUGUGAACUCAUAAGAUUUUGCAGCAAGCCAAAGUUAACCAAGUUCCAUUGAAAUGGUGAAGUCUGCAUAUCAUCUCACCUACGCAUUGAAACGCUCAACGAGGUAUAACGUAGUUCCUUCCACAACUCCAACAGCAAACAAUUGAGCAUCAUCAGGAAGAUAAGCAUUCCCCAUUCGGAGUACCUUAUUUUCGAUGACAACGUCGUGUUCUGCAUGAAGUUUUGCCUUCAACUGAUCUAUGGUAGUACUAUCGUGGAUGACAUAUUCAUAUUGAAUGUCGCCAGCCUCUAAGUAGAUCGUGACUUUAAUUUUUUCGAGGAGAAUAAUUGAGGUCUCAGAAGGAAUGUUAUAGUCUUGUAGAGUCAGUUCAUCCCUUAGGAAUUGCCCUGCCCAUGAGAGCUCUUGCCUUUCUACUGGGAAUGGGAUGCGAAGCACUUCCAAAAUAAGUUGCUUUACGCCGAUAAUUUGUGUAGCGAGAGAAAUCAGCAGAAUGGAUUCUCCUCCACUCCAUACGAAUGUGAUGAGCGGGGUCUGUCAAAUACCAAUUAUUCUGUUAUAUAUAUCAAAUUGUGCAGGCAAAUAAACUCAGAAAAAGAAUAUUAUGAUUUAAUUAUUAUUCCCAAAUGAAUGAUUUAUUAUAAGAUAAAAGGCUUAUGGAGUGCAAAAAUGCUUACUUCCGGAGGCGGAUUGGAGUCGGGAUGGUGGAAGGGAUCAAAAUCGAAUAUUUCGUUGGGAUCAUAGUCUUCCCACAUUGUGCCACUAGAUAGUUUUAUGCAUGCUUCAAUGUGCGAAGGGGAAUGAUCUUGUGAAAAUGUAUCUCCUCAUGGCAUUAGCAUGGGGUUGCCUUGAAUGUGAUUUGCAUGUCUUUAAUUCAUGCAUAUUUUGUUCCAAAACUUUUGACUAAACAUGAAGUCAACCCAAGUUAAUUAUUGUCACGCAUCUUCUAUGUGAAAAUGCAGCCAAUGCCAUAAAGAACAAUUUAAACUUCAUUAAUCUAAACUUAAGCAUAAGAAUAGGACCAUGUCAACAUGCAUACGAUUGAUGUCAGAAAUAAGAUUGAUGUCAAGUUAGGUUUAAUGUCAAUUACUUUACCUUUACGUGUAACUUAUUAAUUAUUGGUUUAGUGAUAUUUUACCUCUACAAUAUUGGAAGAUAUAGUAGAAAUGAACAUAAGUGGAUUGGAUUUUUAUUGUUUCGACAAAUAAAGAGAAAGAUAUAGAUUUUUAUUUUGUUUCAACAAAUAAAGAAAAAAGUCGCCGUCUAUGGGAAUCGAACCCACGACCACACGGUUAAAAGCCGUGCGCUCUACCGGCUGAGCUAAGACGGCAUUUGCAUCACAACAGAUUUUGAAAACCCUAACCUCUACACAAACGUGAAGCCACUUGGAGUAAUAGCAUCAACAUAAUCUAAGCUUGACUUAUAGAACGUAGAUCAUGAAUAUUUGAGAUGCAAGUAUGUACCCAAAAAAAUAAUAUCAUUGAUAUUGUGGGAGCAAAUAUUUUCGUUUCCAAUCACAGCACGCUACGUGGAAAAGAAAAUGAUCUCUUAAAUUAAUUAAUUGAACCAGUUUAUCUGGCUAAUUAAUUAAUUGGGAUAAAUAUCUUAAUUAAUAUGAUAUUAUCUUUAUUUAAUAAGAUAAUAUCAUUAAUUCAGAUAUUAUCCUAAUAAAGAGAAGAUAAUAUCAUUAAUUCAGAUAUUAUCUUCAUAAAAGGAGAUAAUAUCAUUUAUUUCAGAUAUUAUCUAAGUCCGACUCGAUCCCUACGACUUUGGGUGGAGAAUAAACUCAGCAUAUUCUCUACAAAACCCUACUCCCGAGGCUCCUAUAAAUAGAGGACCUCAUUCAUCAUUCAAGGUACAUCUAAACCUAUUCCUAAUACCCAAGAAAAAUACCUGAAGCUCUCUCUCCCUCUCCACUCUCCAUAUUUUCUCCACACGGCUCCGGCCACCACACACGGCUCUGGCUGCCCGGUUCACACCAUACAUACAACUCCGUACCCUUGCUUAGCUAUUGUUUUCCUACAAACACUCGAACUAACUUAGGCAUUGGAGGGCCUUUGGCCAACACCCCCCAUGUGUGGUCUAUUUACUCCAAUAUUUUUUUACAGGAAACGAGGAAGAGAUAGAAGGAAGGCCGAAAGUUGAGGGAUCUAGAAGUGAACAUUCUUCCGUGAGAUUAUUUGCACAAACAGAUACAUUAGAAGAACAGAGAGCCUAUAUCUUAAUUUUAUUGUGUACAUAAUUGGUUAUAGAUUUCAGAAAAUUCGAGUUUUCCCCUUAAAUUCUAAUCAAACUUUUUUCUCAAGAGCCUCUAUGAAUUUCAGGAAGUUACACAAAAAGAUUGGACUUGAAUUCCAAGCCCUCAUUAGAGUCUGAAAACCAGGCCUGAAGCCCAGAACCGACCCAAAGUAAAUAAUCGGGCCUUUCCUUUAAGAUUCAAAAUAAUUAGCCCGUCUUUAUAUAUUCAACAGCCCCGAUCUGACCCGGAGUAAGUCCAAGCUGAAUUUCGUGCUUGUGUAAUGUGUUACAUUUUCACCUCAAUGCUUUCGCGCCUUACUUUCUUUGUCAUUUUCUCCCUCCCAGUUUUUCUUGUUGUUGUUAUGUUUUUAUAAAUAAGCUCAUUUUAGUAUAAUAUAUUAUACAAAAACCUAUAUAGAGUCUAUUUAGAGAGAAAAAUCCAGAACUAGUUGCUUGUCAUUUUUUAAUUGUUUCUUAGAAAAUUUUAACACACUAAGAAUCAAUUAAAAAUGACAAGCGACUAGUUUUGGGGUUUCUUUCCAAAUAGGGCUCUGUAAGGAUUUUUGUAUAACCAAGUCCCAUUGAAACGCUAAGUUAUUUUUCCAUACCAUCUCACAUACGUUUUUUAUCCUCAAUGAGAAAUAACUAAGCUCCUUCAACAUCUCCGGCAACCAAGAGUUGAGCAUGAUCAUCAAGAUAACUAUUAUCCACCAUCCAGAGUACCUUAUGUUCAAUGUCUACGCCUUGUUCCGUCUGAAGUUUUGCCUUCAACUCACCCACGGUAAUACCAUCGAAGACUACGUACACAUAACAAUGGCCAUCGAACUCCAAGUAGAUCUUGACUUCAAUUUUCUUAUAGAUAACAAGGAAAGCAGUAGGGGGAAUGUGAUAGUCUUGCAGAGUCAGUUCAUCUUUCAGGCACUGCCCUUCCCAUGAGAGCUCUUGCCUAUCUAUUGGGAUGGGGAUGCGAAGCACUUCUGAAAUCAGUAGCUUUACGUCGAUAAUUCUUGUAGCCAUGGGAACCAGCAGAAUGGAUUCUCCUCCACUCCAUAGGAAUGUGAUCAGCGAGGUCUGUCAAAUACCAAUCAAUUUGUCAUAAACUUAGAAAAAAAAGAAAGAAAAUUAGAAUUUAAUUAGCAGUCACAAAUUAGUGAGUUACAGGAUGCUUACCGCUGGAGGCAAAUAAUUCAUUGUGGUUAUAACUUGUACGUGUGCUUAAAUGCGAAAGGGGAAUGAGAGCUUGUUAAAAUGUAUCUCCUCAUGGCAAUGGCAUUAUCAUGGUGUUGGUCGAAUGUUAUUUGCAUGCAUCGAAAAGGUCCUUUUUAAGUCUCAUGCAUAUUUUGUUCCAAAACUAGAAACGAAAAAGAAAUUUCAGAACGAAAACUUUAGAACUUGGUUGCUGUCACGCACUGCCUGUAAGAGUGGCUACGCUUUGGUUAUAUUGUCGCUAAGGGGUCGUUUGGCACGGCAGACUGUCAUGGACUAGACUAAAUUCUAGAACUGUCUCGGAUUAGCUCGGAUUGGCCUAAGCUGGAUUAAGUAUUGACCUAUGUUUGGUGCUGCGUCGGACUAAGAAACUGGAUUGUAAAAAUAGUGAAAUCUAUGUUUAGUGCUGUGUCAGACUAAAAAAUAAUUAUUUUAAUAUUUAAAAAUAAUAAUUUUUAAAUAAUUAAUGUAAGUUUUUUUGUUAUUAUAAUUACCAAAUUGACAUGUACAUUUCUUUUCCUCCAAACCAACCAAAGGCUUUUUAUUUGUUGUUAAAAUUAUAAAUUCCAUCGAUUUUAUGCAUAAUUAGUCUUUAUUUGUAUGCAAACAUAAAGAAAUUAAUUAAUUGAGUCUUUACCAGGUGAUAUUAUGUUAGUAUACAAAAAUAUGUUGGCUGAGGAUAAAAUAGAUAACUUAGGAAAUUGUGACAAAAAUAUAGGCAAACAUUCUUUAUAUCUUGCAUUUAACCUAGUGAACUAGAAUUAGGAUUUAAACAAGAGUUGCAUCCGAAACUCUAUGACUAAGACAUUUCUGAAAACUACACAUUAGGGCAUAGUAUUACCAAAUCAAUCCUCAGCAAAAUUUGGUGAUAAAAAACAAACAGGGAGCUUCCCUUUCUCAAUAAAAGGGCAAAAGUUUCCAGUCUUCUAGAGAUAAAUAUAAAAUGGGAAAUCAUGUCUCUCUGAACCUGAAAAAGUAAAACUAAAAACACUGAAUGAACAUAGUAGAAAGAUGACGCAUCUUCCCCACUAAUAGAUAUGCAAGUCUACAACUGUCCAAGAAACCAAUAAUGAUCAACAAUUGAAUUUUUCACAUACAAGCAAUCUUACAACUAAACUAGUACCACAUGAAUUCAAGCAAAUUUUGUCAUUGGUUCAUUGCUGGGUAUAGGUAGCAUAAUCACGUUUUCCAAAUUUCACCUUUGCCUACAAGUAUACUUACAUAUUACACUGGACAAUUGAAAUUGCUAAAACAAGAAUAGUAAGCUGCAGGUUUUCUGUUUCCUUGGCCACCUUCAACUGAAGCUCUAAAUUCCCAGAACAUGAACCUCAUUCUUCUCACAAGGCAUCACGAGAGGCAAUCCGUCAAGUAAUGGCAUAAGCAAGAGAAGAUAUCCCUAGUUCCACGCUAAUGAUCUUAUAGUGCUGAAAAUUACGAGAGUUGAUGAUCACUAACUAGAAACAAAAUCAUAAGAAAACUAAUUGCCGUUAGAAAAGUGAUCAAGAGUGUACCUUUUGUAUUUGGGCUUGGUCUACUCUACCUCCCAACUCCUCCAAGUCAAUCUCUUUUCCAAUGAUUAGUUUCUCUACUGCUUUUUGUUCAAUCUAAUAUUCAACAAAAAUUAUUAAAGUCAAAAUGGCAAACAUUUUCUGAUAUCCUGAAGCAAUACAAGGCUUGACAAACAUUGCAUGUGCUGCACUCACUGUUAAACCUUAAACAUCGUUCUCUUGUCAACACCAUCACCAUGUUAAUUGAUUAAACUAUGUAUAAUUUGAGUCAUUGACCUUCAAACUAUCACAUUGAAUUCAAGACAGACAGCAUAUAAUAUGCCAAAAUUAAUUGCUGCGGAAUAAAUUUUAUUGCAGGAAAUUACUUGACAAAUGAACUUCUUUUCUUUUUUGCUAAUUUGAAUGUCAAACAGCUGUUACAACAUUAUGCAGUGCAGCAAACAAUAUGAAUGGCACAAAGACUAAAUAAACAUAAAAAAUAGACAGUAUGAAAUGAAAUGAAUGGCGCAAAUACUGAGUGACAAUUGACACAGUGGAAGGGGAGGUAGGAGAUUUAUUAGAGAUAUUAGCUUGGAGAAACAAAAAUUAAUAACUUUGAAUCUGCUGCUAGCCAGGACACCAUCGCAUCCAUAUAUAUAUAUAUAUUUUUUAUCGCAUCCAUAUUUUUUUUUAUUGACUUUGCUUUGACAUGGCCAAAGAAAAAGAAAAAAGAAAAUUGAAUCACUAAAUCACCAACCAAGAAAAAAGAAAAUUGGCAAACUCCAAAACUACAAAUCUUCCUCUGUGUAAUCUUUUAGCACUAAACCACAAGGAUGCAUCAUCCCACAUGAACCAGUAAGUAAUGAAAUCCAUUAGAUAGUAAUGAAAUCCAUAAAAACUGAAACAGUAAGUUCAAUAAACUCAAGAUUCAUGCCAAAAGUCUACUCUACUUCUGAAUUUCUAGGUUUUCUGAAGUACCCAAUUGCAAAUUAAUUGCCAAUUAACAUCAUGUAUAUAUAUGUCACCACAGUAAAUAUGGAUUCUACGAAAAUUAGAGAAGAGAAGAAGAAAAUAACAGAGAAAAGGAAGGAGAGAUUCUCAGAGCACACAGUCAAAAUUGUUGAGGACAAUUGCAAAAAUCAAAGAGAUGGAAGAAGGAAUAAGAGAGGUAUCCAAAGGGAAAGACCAGAAAAACUUGCCUGCGUUAAGAUUCGAAGAAGAUGAGUCGAUGUUGAACGAAGGAGAGGUGGAGUCGCAGAGACGGAGUCGCGAACUGGAGAGAGGCGUGUUCAAUAUAGCGAAGGCUUAUUUUGCGAACUCAUUUUGAGCUUCUCUGUAUAAGGAGAACGAGUGAGGGGUUUUUUCUACUGUUGGGCUCUACUAUCCCAUUUAAGUUAGUCCCCUUGCUAAUCAAACAUGGGCUUGAGGUUCAAUAUAGCACAGCCCUAUCUAGUGAGCCAUACCAAACAUGCCCAAAAGUACAAAAGCGAUGUUAAAAAUUUUGACCCGUCAUUAGUGGUCAAAGUUGGAUUCUUAUUAUCAGAAAAAGCUAUUUCACUAAGAAAAUUAUGAAAAGUAAGUAGAUUUUGCACGUAUCAAAAAGCGUUCAUCCAAAACAUAAAAAGGCAUAGGUAAAAAACCCUUCCUUUAAUAAUGGAUGCCUAAUCAAUAACCCAAUCUAGUUUGUAUUGGCCCUAAACCUUUGAAUUAUGAAUGUAAUUUUAAAAUUUAUCAAAAAAUAAAUAAAUAAAUAACCCAAAUUAUACCACAACCAUCCAUUAAAAUGUUGGAUUACAUAAUGAAAUGAAUUAGGGUUCGUCAUUGAACCGACCUGUAAUUUUUAGGUUUGGCCCGAGCUUUUUGGACUUUUUUAAAAAUAAUUUCGAGUCAGAUAGAAUUGAGGUUUCAAAGGUCAAGGCCCCAGCCUACUCAUUGGGCCGGGCCUAGAAGUAUAAUUCACUUCUAGUAAUAAUUGUGGUAUAAUUCAAGGGAGAAAACAAUAUUUUUCUCUAAAAUUUAUGUUACACUAGUUACAAAUUUCAGAAAACUUGGAGUUUUCCUCUUAAAAUUCUAAUCAAACUUUUCUCAAGGGCCUCUCGUGGAAGGAAGUUGCAUGAACACUACGAAUUAUUUGAAAAAUAUUCGGAAAUUCUUAUUCAUAUCCAUAUUCCAUUAAUUAUAUCUUGUUUCACUGUUUCUUUUUACCUUGUAUUUUUUUAUUUUUAGCUACACAAAAAGAUAGGGUCUGAAAACCAGGACUGAAGUGCAGAAUUUCGAGUGUGUGUUUCACCCAAAUGCUUUCGCCUUACUUUGUCUGUGAUUUUCUUUCUCUCCGCAAUUUUGUUGUUGUUGGUAUUUUGACUUCUUUUGGGCACAUUAAUUUAUUUAACCCAGUUUAUGACUAGGAUAUGAGAAAUUAAAAUAAACAAAAGGGCAGGCAUUAACAUUAAGAACAAAAUGAUGUGACAAAUUUAAGAACUGAAAAUUUUCACCCAAACAGGCUAUUCUUUCUCAGGCUAAAUUAAUUAUAAUUUGUCGAAUUUAUUUUAUCCAAACUGAAAUAUAUAGCCCAUGCUUCUUAAGCUAACUUAUAAUAUAGUAACAGUGAAUUAAUAAGAUUUUUCAGCAAGCCAACCAAGUCCUCUUGAAAUGCCGAAUUAGUUUUGAUACUUAACGAGAUGUAACUUAGUUCCUUCCAUAACUGUGGCAGCCCAGAGAAGAGCACCAUCAUCAAGAUCAAAACCGUUCAUUCGGAGUACCUUG